Maylandia zebra (zebra mbuna) is the source of this 247-nucleotide non-coding RNA. The record is from RefSeq and is a predicted model, not a curated record. Lineage: Eukaryota; Metazoa; Chordata; Actinopteri; Cichliformes; Cichlidae.
CGUGAACGCCGCAUGAACUCUCGGCGGUCCCUUUGAAGUGCAGUUUGUGGCUGGAGCUGAAGCUGCCCUCGGAGGCUAAAGCUCCCACCCCCACCCGCCGCCACCUUGAACUGGAAAAAAAAAUCAUGAUUGACUUUGAGGAGACAGACUUCAUUUUGGAAAAUCAGAAAAGAAAAAGAAAAAAAGAUCUCAAAAAAGACAAAAAACACAAAACCAACAUGACUGUGAAACCACAAGAGAGCAUCCA